ACAGUGACCCGGGUGUUUAUUUCCCACCACUCAGCUUGAGAAAAAAGAAAAAAGAAAAGGAAAUCCUUCAGUUAGAAGAACAAUGAUGAGAACAUGAUCUAUACCAAGGAAUGCAGAGCUCCAGAAAUGGAAAUACCUGAGCAGGUCAUGGCACUUUACCUGGCUGGGGGACCUAAAUCUUCAUUUCUGAAGGAUCUGAGUCAUUAUUAGCCCUG
This is a long non-coding RNA of Suricata suricatta (meerkat), 215 nucleotides long. RefSeq lists it as uncharacterized. NCBI's taxonomy places the organism in Eukaryota, Metazoa, Chordata, Mammalia, Carnivora, Herpestidae. The transcript is spliced from 3 exons. The record is from RefSeq and is a predicted model, not a curated record.